GCCCCUAUAGCUCAACUGGCAGAGCAACCGGCUUUUAACCGGUGGGUUCCAGGUUCAAACCCUGGUAGGGGCACAA
This 76-nucleotide transfer RNA is filed under the name Corynebacterium sp. 13CS0277. Its description in RNAcentral is "tRNA-Lys". It matches the Rfam family "tRNA". Rfam says of the family: Transfer RNA (tRNA) molecules are approximately 80 nucleotides in length. Their secondary structure includes four short double-helical elements and three loops (D, anti-codon, and T loops). Lineage: Bacteria; Bacillati; Actinomycetota; Actinomycetes; Mycobacteriales; Corynebacteriaceae. The record is from RNAcentral.